AAACCAUGCUGUGGACACUUCCACAAAAGGUCCUUGAAUCACUCCCAUGUCUCAAACAUGGAUUCAAGCUCCAUCUGAACAAAUGACAAUAUUUUAUUAUGAAACU
This is a small nucleolar RNA of Dioscorea cayenensis subsp. rotundata (Guinea yam), 106 nucleotides long. NCBI's taxonomy places the organism in Eukaryota, Viridiplantae, Streptophyta, Magnoliopsida, Dioscoreales, Dioscoreaceae. The record is from RefSeq and is a predicted model, not a curated record.